Molecule: ribosomal RNA, 615 nt
Filed under: uncultured bacterium
Lineage: Bacteria
Description: bacterial SSU rRNA
Rfam family: Bacterial small subunit ribosomal RNA
Source: RNAcentral
CCUACGGGAGGCAGCAGUAAGGAAUAUUGGACAAUGCUCGCAAGAGUGAUCCAGCCAUGCCGCGUGCAGGAAGAAUGCCCUAUGGGUAGUAAACUGCUUUUGAACUAGAGAAAACCCCAGUACGUGUACUGGGCUGAUAGUAUAGUUAGAAUAAGCAUCGGCUAACUUCGUGCCAGCAGCCGCGGUAAGACGAAGGAUGCAAGCGUUAUCCGGAUUCAUUGGGUUUAAAGGGAGCGUAGGUGGACUGAUAAGUCAGUGGUGAAAUCUCCGAGCUUAACUCGGAAAUUGCCAUUGAUACUGUUGGUCUUGAGUACAGUUGCUGUGGGCGGAAUAUGACAUGUAGUGGUGAAAUACAUAGAGAUGUCAUAGAACACCGAUUGCGAAGGUAGCUCACAAAGCUGUAACUGACACUGAGGCUCGAAAGUGCGGGGAUCAAACAGGAUUAGAUACCCUGGUAGUCCGCACCGUAAACGAUGAUUACUCGCUGCUAGGGGGCAACCUUUAGUGGCUUAGCGAAAGCGAUAAGUAAUCCACCUGGGGAGUACGCCGGCAACGGUGAAACUUAGAAGUAGUAGACGAGNGAGAGCGACGGACGGACGACGACGGAGGGAGGAG